RNAcentral lists this ribosomal RNA (301 nucleotides) under uncultured bacterium. Its description in RNAcentral is "partial 16S ribosomal RNA". It matches the Rfam family "Bacterial small subunit ribosomal RNA", at positions 509 to 809 of the family's 1533-position model. The record is from RNAcentral.
CAGCCGCCACGGUAAUACGAAGGGUGCAAGCGUUAAUCGGAAUUACUGGGCGUAAAGCGUGCGUAGGCGGUUUGUUAAGUCUGUUGUGAAAUCCCCGGGCUCAACCUGGGAAUGGCAAUGGAUACUGGCAAGCUAGAGUGUGUCAGAGGAUGGUGGAAUUCCCGGUGUAGCGGUGAAAUGCGUAGAGAUCGGGAGGAACAUCAGUGGCGAAGGCGGCCAUCUGGGACAACACUGACGCUGAGGCACGAAAGCGUGGGGAGCAAACAGGAUUAGAUACCCGUGUAGUCCCUGUCUCUUAUAU